GAUGGUGAAAGAGGGACAGAGACAGAAAGCAUAAGAAAAUGUCAACUUCGAAAAUUUUCCCAUUAAUAAAAUAUUUAGUUCCUAAAGUAGAUUACUAACUACUAAUGAAUUUAAUGUCACAACAAGGAUAGAAUAAGAAUAAAGCGACAUCGAAAAGAUUGCAAAUUGCAAAGCAAAAUGAUGUGAGAGAAAGAGAGUGAGAGAGAGAGAGAAUGUAAGGUAGAGGAGAGUUCUUCGGAAAAGGUUGCGGCAUAAAAAGUAAAAAUUUAUAAAAGGCAAGAUAUGCAAUAUGUUGGAGACGACUGGCCAAAUAUAGAGUGAGAUGCUGGCCGGGCGAACGAGCACGCAGGCAUGUACGAAUCGUAAGCAUUCGAGUAGUACACUUUCGUAUAUCAUAGAUCGAUACCGAAAUCACUAUUCAUCGUAAAACAAUUCUGAAUUCCAUGUGUCUUUAUCACUUAAUGCCUUUAGGAAGCUUCGUUUACUGCUUCGUAUACUCGGGUAUGUAAGUACCGUGAGCACACACAGAACACUCUGUGUGCUAAAAACGAAAUCUUAUUCCACGUUUUAACAAAUGAAAAAAUCGUUAUAGCCCGUAUAUCUACCCUAUUAUUAUCUUCUAUAUCAUUUGGAUAAAUGUGAUUAGCGCCAAUUGGCAAUUUAACAAAAUUCUUACCGAGAGGAAGAAUCAACUCAACACACAAUUUCUCAAGGAAACUACAAAA
Long non-coding RNA from Vespula pensylvanica (western yellowjacket), 725 nucleotides. RefSeq lists it as uncharacterized. The transcript has 2 exons. The record is from RefSeq and is a predicted model, not a curated record. Lineage: Eukaryota; Metazoa; Arthropoda; Insecta; Hymenoptera; Vespidae.